Molecule: ribosomal RNA, 468 nt
Filed under: uncultured bacterium
Lineage: Bacteria
Description: partial 16S ribosomal RNA
Rfam family: Bacterial small subunit ribosomal RNA
Source: RNAcentral
GACGAACGCUGGCGGCGUGCUUAACACAUGCAAGUCGAACGGAAAGGCCCUGCUUUUGUGGGGUGCUCGCGUGGCGAACGGGUGAGUAACACGUGAGUAACCUGCCCUUGACUUUGGGAUAACUUCAGGAAACUGGGGCUAAUACCGGAUAGGAGCUCCUGCUGCAUGGUGGGGGUUGGACAGUUUCGGCGGUUGGGGAUGGACUCGCGGCUUAUCAGCUUGUUGGUGGGGUAGUGGCUUACCAAGGCUUUGACGGGUAGCCGGCCUGAGAGGGUGACCGGCCACAUUGGGACUGAGAUACGGCCCAGACUCCUACGGGAGGCAGCAGUGGGGAAUAUUGCACAAUGGGCGGAAGCCUGAUGCAGCAACGCCGCGUGCGGGAUGACGGCCUUCGGGUUGUAAACCGCUUUCGCCUGUGACGAAGCGUGAGUGACGGUAAUGGGUAAAGAAGCACCGGCUAACUACGUG